GCUUCGCGUAGCUCAGCGGGUAGAGCGACCGUGAUUCAAUCGGGAGGUCCUGAGUUCGAGUCUCAGCGUGGACG
Molecule: non-coding RNA, 74 nt
Organism: Cymbomonas tetramitiformis
Lineage: Eukaryota; Viridiplantae; Chlorophyta; Pyramimonadophyceae; Pyramimonadales; Pyramimonadaceae
Source: the annotation of a GenBank genome assembly